GUGUUUCCCAAUGACCAGGGAAUGGGUGAGCCCCGAGCAGCCUCCAGCUGCACCGUUUCACAUGACUCAGAGUGGUCAGCUGCUCAUCAUGCUGGUCUCUCCUCCUCCCUUUCCUUAGCGAUCUGCAAAUAACUACCUACAGCCUCUCCCAGAAUAAUUUCAAAAUUGAAAGCACACACAUAAGACCCUCCUGAAGUGCCUCUGUUGAUGGAGCUGGGCUGAGUGCCCAGGCUGGGAAGAAGGAGCCUUUCUUGUGGCCUCCACUGCCCUCCCCAAGCCUGCGGCCUCGUUUUCUAGCCAACCUCUCACCCUGAGAAGCCCCAGUGGAGCCAGUGCAGGGGGAGACUUCCAUUCCUGGAAGGUUCAGAUCAAGCUUCAGCCAGCACUUAUGGCAGAGCAUUACUUUAAAGUAAUGCUCAAUGGUUGAAAAAACGUGGAAGAUGCUGAAUUUACAGGAACCCCAUUACUGGGAGCGAAACAGGAACCUUCAUCAUAUCACUAUUUUGACCCCACAGUUGGCAAACGUGUGACCUCCUUUUAUUUGGUCUUGAGUUCCUUUUUUAAAAAUCUCAUUGCACACAUCCUUUAUAUAACCUGCUUCAAAUUAUUUUUUGAGAAAAAUGUUUAAAAAACCAAAAAACCUUUUCUUUUGGGGAUGAUGAAAAUGUGAAAUUCGAAAAUGUUGUGUAGUGGUUACACAUUGUAAAUACACUGAAGCCCCUUGACUUAUGCCCUUAAAAUGAAUGCACCUAAUAGAAUGUAAAUUACGAAUCAUUACAACUUUUAAAAAACCUUGAGGUUAUUGGGGGUGGUGGGAGCAGAGAGACGGGACACACUAUUGAUUAUCCAAUGACUUCUAAUUUUCUGACUUAAGACAUUCACAGACUCAGGAGGAUCUUCGUAGAGGCAAUGAAGGGCAGUGCGGAAGCUGUUAGGGAUCCCAGCUUGACUGUUCCCUGGCUGACGCAGGUUCGGUGGAAAUGAUGGCAACUGCCAUGCGGUGGAUCCAUAUCCCAGCCCCUGCAAGGGCUGCUCUACCUGUGCGACGGCCAGCCCCGCAGCUGGGUUUGGCUACCCGGCCCCAAGGCUGAUUAGUCCGGAGACACACGUGACUUCAGCGGGCCAAUCAGCUGUGUCCUCCCCGAUACCACCCCUCCCUGUUGGGGAGUGCGAACUUGGGUUCCGAGGACACCGGUCCGUCUUUGUAAGGCACCUCCGGAUUUCUGCUGUUCACAUCCAGAGCGGUUUUGAUCACCAGUGGACCCCAGGAGCUUUCAGUGUCUCAUUCAGUCUGUGCAGGAGACCUGGGUUCAAUCACUGAUCCGGGAAGAUCCCGUGUGCCGCGGAGCAACUAGGCCAGUGCGCCACAACUAUCGAGCCUGUUUUCUCGAGCCUGGGAGCCGCAAGACCGUGGGCCACAACUGUUGAAGGCCCGCAUGUCAGAGCCCCUGCUCAUCAACAAGAGACACCACUGCAAUGAAAAGCCUGUACACUGCAACUGGAGUUUGCCAACCGUACACUAUCCCCUCUUGCUGCAACUAGAGGAAAGCCUGCAAGGCAAUGAAGACCCAGCACAGCCAUAAGUUCUAUAUAUAAAACAUGGGAAUCCAGAUGUGCAGCUCAUUUUGUGUCACCUGUCCCCUGAGAGCUUGGCACAAAGAGCUGAGCUUCUGGAGGGAGGCUUAUUAGUCUGACCCCAGCUCUCCUUUACUAGUUCUCGGAAUUGGCCAAGUCUUAGCUCCCACACCUAUAAAAUGGAAUCUAACCUCCAUCUGAGGUUGUGGAAAGGAUUAGAAAUAAAGGUGUAAAGUAUUUUGCAUAGUGUCUUGUGCAGAGCAGCCAUUUAAUAACUGACAAUUAUUAGUUUCUUAAAGGGUAAAUAAAUUCAGAAGAAAUUUGAGUUGAGACCCAGUUAAGUUACACCAACAAUUUUAUUGACAAGCGCAUUAAGUUUGGGGAAUAUUUCUAGCUCCCCUCCCCAAGUAUUAAAUAAGCUACCUCUUAACUUCUUUGUGGUUCAGUUUGCUCAUCUGUAAAGUAGGGAGUAACAGAGCUUUUGCAAAGACUAAUAAAUAACAACGUAUAGUAACUCUCUUAGAACAAGGCACACUGUAAGAGCUGUACAAGUGCUCACUAUUUUAACUGCUACCAUAUCAACACUCUGAAUUGCAGAUAGGCCAUGGUUCUCAUAAACUAGAGCUACGAAGGCUUUUGUACAGGGCUAGGGCGCAGGCCUGUCCUUACCGUACAAGGUGGCUCUGGAAGACUUGGGUUUUGGGGGUCCUGGCCCUGCUCUGCAGAUGAGUAUUAUCCUGGUACCUUUGCCCUCCCAUCUCCAACUCUUUGCAGAAAUACACUCCAGUACUCAACAAACAUCCGCUAACAG
This is a long non-coding RNA of Bos taurus (domestic cattle), 2386 nucleotides long. Lineage: Eukaryota; Metazoa; Chordata; Mammalia; Artiodactyla; Bovidae. The record is from Ensembl.